This 85-nucleotide transfer RNA is filed under the name Deltaproteobacteria bacterium RIFCSPLOWO2_02_FULL_47_10. RNAcentral's name for it is "tRNA-Leu". It matches the Rfam family "tRNA". Rfam says of the family: Transfer RNA (tRNA) molecules are approximately 80 nucleotides in length. The record is from RNAcentral. Lineage: Bacteria; Deltaproteobacteria.
GCCCGGGUGGCGAAACUGGUACACGCAUACGUUUAAGGGGCGUACGCCGCAAGGCUUGUGGGUUCGACUCCCACCCCGGGCACAA